RNAcentral lists this ribosomal RNA (405 nucleotides) under uncultured bacterium. Its description in RNAcentral is "partial 16S ribosomal RNA". It matches the Rfam family "Bacterial small subunit ribosomal RNA", at positions 29 to 525 of the family's 1533-position model. The record is from RNAcentral.
AUUGAACGCUGGCGGCAGGCCUAACACAUGCAAGUCGAGCGAGCGGCGGACGGGUGAGUAAUGUCUGGGAAACUGCCUGAUGGAGGGGGAUAACUACUGGAAACGGUAGCUAAUACCGCAUACCAUCAGAUGUGCCCAGAUGGGAUUAGCUAGUAGGUGGGGUAACGGCUCACCUAGGCGACGAUCCCUAGCUGGUCUGAGAGGAUGACCGGCCAAACUGGAACUGGAAAACGGUCCAGAUGCCAACGGGGGGCAGCAGGGGGGAAUAUUGAACAAUGGGCGCAAGCCUGAUGCAGCAAGGCGGGUUGUGGGAAGAAGGCCUUCGGGUUGUAAGUCACUUUCAGCGAGGAGGCGUUACUCGCAGAAGAAGCACCGGCUAACUCCGUGCCAGCGGCCGCGGAAAUU